Molecule: long non-coding RNA, 538 nt
Filed under: Pelobates cultripes (western spadefoot toad)
Lineage: Eukaryota; Metazoa; Chordata; Amphibia; Anura; Pelobatidae
Source: RNAcentral
GGGCAGAGACCAGCGGUACUCUGCCCGGGUGCCAGCGCUACCACUGAAGUAGCCUGGUUGGAGCCUGGUUGUGGGAGGGGGAGAUCGACUGUCUCCCCUCUGGAUACACUGCUCUGUGGCUGGGGGACAGGACUGACCGUCCCUACCCCUGGUGCUGCAAGUGCAGAGACUACGGUCCCAUCUGCAUAGUUGUGGGGCUGAACAUCUCCCCUUGGUGGGUUAGGCUGCCGCUGGAGAGAGGGUGUAACAAGCUCCUCUCUCUGAACUGUAGACUGCCGCUGGGGAGAGGGGGUAACCUGCUCCUCUCCCUGACACUCUCUUUGCUGGUGGAGAGGGGGACCAACUGUCUCCCCUUUCAAUAUUUUGUCCUGCGGCUGGGGUGCGAGACAGAUGGUCUCUGCUUCCUGGGGUACACACUGCCGCUGGGGAGGAAGGACGGCACCUUCAGCUCCCUGGGGUACACACUGCCGCUGGGGAGGAAGGACGGCACCUUUGGCUCCCUGGGAUACACACUGCCGCUGGGGAGGAAGGACGGCAC